CUAGUAAAUAGAGUAUGUUUUUGUUGGCAGUGAGUAAAUCUUUGAUUCAGAGUCAGCGUAUAGGCCGACAAAAAAUGCUUUUCCGUUCAGAAAUCUGAAUCCUAUCUGUGGGGCCUCCCCUUCAUGUCUACGUGAGGACUGAAGAACGAGUGAAUCUUGUUUUAGGGUUUAUGCCCAUUGCCGAUCAUGUGGUCAGUUUCCCCGCUUUCGAUUCCGACCAAGAUUUACUUAUUAUUCCUCCUCGUCCAUUAGUUCAGUUCCUUAGUUCAAUCAGUCCCUUCCUCAAAACCUAUUUCCGCAAAUGCCACUGCUCUUAUUCCACAAUAUGGGAUUGCUGG
Molecule: long non-coding RNA, 338 nt
Filed under: Nicotiana benthamiana
Lineage: Eukaryota; Viridiplantae; Streptophyta; Magnoliopsida; Solanales; Solanaceae
Description: long non-coding RNA (NBEN_LNC036384)
Source: RNAcentral